Molecule: ribosomal RNA, 488 nt
Filed under: Wanella milleporae
Lineage: Eukaryota; Metazoa; Arthropoda; Thecostraca; Balanomorpha; Balanidae
Description: partial small subunit ribosomal RNA
Rfam family: Microsporidia small subunit ribosomal RNA (bases 143-488)
Source: RNAcentral
AAUUUUGAAUAAAAAUAACAAGGAAAUUUUUGAAAAUUAUUAGGUAGAAUUUUAAUUUUUAAAAAUAACAACAUUUUUAUUCAAGAAAAGUAUGACAAGGACCAGGAUUAGAUACCCUGUUACUCAUAGUUAAAAAUUUUUUGGAAUAGUAUUAUUAAUGAAAUUUAACGGAUUUGGCGGCAAGAUAGCCACUUAGAGGAACCUGCCCUGUAAACGAUGAGCCACGAUUAACCUUACUUUUACUAGAAUCCAGUUUGUAUACCGCUGUUGUCAGUUAGUUUCCCUAGAAAACUUUCGUACAUGAUAAAUUCAAGGACUUCAAGUAAAGGUGCAGCUUAUGUAAAAGAUAGAGGUGGGUUACAAUUAAAAGAAUAAUAUGGAUAAAGUAAAGAAAAAACUUUUGAAGGUGGAUUUAAUAGUAAAGUUUAAUAAGACUUGAUUAGAGCUCUAUCUUGUGUACACACCGCCCGUCGCUCUCUUUUUUAAAC